CAGUAGCCGCGGUAACACGGAGGGAGCUAGCGUUAUUCGGAAUUACUGGGCGUAAAGCGCACGUAGGCGGCUUUGUAAGUUAGAGGUGAAAGCCUGGUGCUCAACACCAGAACUGCCUUUGAUACUGCAUCGCUUGAAUCCAGGAGAGGUGAGUGGAAUUCCGAGUGUAGAGGUGAAAUUCGUAGAUAUUCGGAAGAACACCAGUGGCGAAGGCGGCUCACUGGACUGGUAUUGACGCUGAGGUGCGAAAGCGUGGGGAGCAAACAGGAUUAGAUACCCGUGUAGUCCCUGUCUCUUAUAC
This 301-nucleotide ribosomal RNA is filed under the name uncultured bacterium. Its description in RNAcentral is "partial 16S ribosomal RNA". It matches the Rfam family "Bacterial small subunit ribosomal RNA", at positions 509 to 807 of the family's 1533-position model. The record is from RNAcentral.